UGGUGGAGUGAUUUGUCUGGUUAAUUCCGUUAACGAACGAGACCUCGACCUGCUAAAUAGUUCGGUGAAGGCGUCAGCCUUCAUACGUGACUUCUUAGAGGGACUAUCGGUGCUUUAGCCGAAGGAAGUUCGAGGCAAUAACA
This 143-nucleotide ribosomal RNA is filed under the name uncultured eukaryote. RNAcentral describes it as "partial 18S ribosomal RNA". It matches the Rfam family "Eukaryotic small subunit ribosomal RNA", at positions 1299 to 1458 of the family's 1831-position model. The record is from RNAcentral.